Molecule: long non-coding RNA, 959 nt
Organism: Manis pentadactyla (Chinese pangolin)
Lineage: Eukaryota; Metazoa; Chordata; Mammalia; Pholidota; Manidae
Exons: 4
Source: RefSeq, a predicted model, not a curated record
GGUGAGCGCCAUUUUGGGAUUGGGCAGAAAGUGGCACAGAUAGUAGAAACCGGGAUCAGCCAUUUUUAGUUAGGGGACUCGCACCCUUUGUUGGGAGGGAGUAGCCAUUCUCGCUUGGGACGAAGCCUGACAGUUGAAGUUAACGGUUCUCAUCUUUAUUUUGGGCAAAACCUCCCUACCCGGUCGAUUUAAUUUCUUAAAUCGAGGAAAGAAACCCCCAGAAUCCAUCAAGUGGCUGAGAUUUAACCCCUUUGUUGCCUACUUGGCCAAAGGACGUUUCCAUUUAUCAUAUAAGCUCAUAGUUGGGAAGGGAUAUUUUGCACAAGAAACCGUAUUUUGAGAGCCAUCUUGCGUCUCAAAGUGCUGAGAAUGGGGGCUCGUAAAAGGUGGUGUCCAGCACCAGCAAGUUUCUUGUCUGGUAGAGGAGACAUUGCCCUUGCCCUUAGAGCACAGCAAGCAAGUUAGUCGUUUACGUCGCGGAAGGAGGCAAAACCAUUCUCCAGAAGCUGUAGCUCCGAAGAAUUCUCAAUUUAGUUUGUGGCCCAGGAGCUCCUGGAGGUUGGGAGCCUUGCCUGGCUGGCUACACUGUCUCCAGCUUCUCUCUUGCUGCCUGGCCUCUAACAGGACUUGAUGUCACUACACCAAACCACAUUCUCCAAAGAUGGGACUGGAAGGAAAGAGAGAACUUCAGAAAGGCCAAGUCCAGCUGUCAUGACCUUCUCCCAUGGUUUCCAUGAAUACCUCUGGAAAACUAUCAAGGAUAUGUUGGACCGACAUCAACUAGGAACUUGGAAACGUUGAGAGAGAAAAAUGUGGGUGUCACACGAGGCACGGUAGCCAUUAACUGCACGAAUAUAAUGCAAAUAGCAUGCAAAUAAAUGCAAACCUUAGAUUAAUUUGCAGAAUCAUACUUUGGAGCUUGCAAACAGUGCUGAGAUCAAAGCUAAUGUUUUUUACAU